This is a long non-coding RNA of Nerophis lumbriciformis (worm pipefish), 814 nucleotides long. RefSeq lists it as uncharacterized. NCBI's taxonomy places the organism in Eukaryota, Metazoa, Chordata, Actinopteri, Syngnathiformes, Syngnathidae. The record is from RefSeq and is a predicted model, not a curated record.
AUCAAGUAUGACACAUAGAAUGGACCUGCUAUCCCUGUUUAAAUAAGAAAAUCGCAUUUCAGUAGGCCUUUAAACUACCAACUACUUUAAACACUACGGCUGAGUAAAAACAUUGCAAAGGUGUUCCAGUUCCACUAAUCAGUGUCCCAGCAUAAACAUUGCUCCAAAAAGUUCCUCCAACUCAAAGGUUCCAAUCAUUCUUUGUCCUCUCAAGUGUCAGGUAUUUUUUUCAAUUGUAAUACACAAGAAAUAAGAAAAACUACUUGUCCCCGCAUACUGUCAUGGCGGCUGUUGUGUUGGAAUAGAACGUUUUAGAAACUGUGUUCUACCAAUCAGCAUUUGGCAGCACAGCCUGCCCCAAAGUACCUUGUGGCUGGUAGAAACUCGACGCUUCCCUGGUGCAACCCGUUUACCACAGUAGUUUUUGGUGGAAACACGGGGAGGUAUUUUGGUUUAGUUCCUGAAAAAGGGCCUCAUGUCAGGGUUUUUCCGGAAAUGAACAAACAUAACUAACAACUGUAUUGCUUGAACUUGUAUAAGAACACAAAUAAUGUUGUUUCAUGUUGUAAUUCUUCUAGGUCCUUUCAACUUUUCAGUGCUCACACAUUUCAAAGCUCAAGUGAUCAGGAACGGGGAUACGAACCUUACCCAAGCUUUCCAAAAUUUCUUCAAUGAACUUUUAGCACCCAUCUGUCCUAUCUGCACCUUCACAAUUAAUAAUGUGACGCUGACCCCAAACUGACUGGCAUUGGGAUUUGUACUGUGUAUAUAGAUUAUUUCUGCAACUCUGUGAUUUCUGGGAGAUAAAGAGAUA